CCUGAUGCAGCGACGCCGCGUGGGGGAUGACGGCCUUCGGUUGUAAACCUCUUUCAGCACAGACGAAGCGCAAGUGACGGUAUGUGCAGAAGAAGCACCGGCCAACUACGUGCCAGCAGCCGCGGUAAUACGUAGGUGGCAAGCGUUGUUCGGAAUUACUGGGCGUAAAGGGCGCGUAGGCGGCCUGGUCAGUCCCGUGUGAAAUCCCUCGGCUCAACUGAGGAACUGCACGGGAAACUGCCUGGCUUGAGUUCGGGAGAGGGAAGCGGAAUUCCGGGUAUAGCGGUGAAAUGCGUAGAUAUCCGGAGGAACACCGGUGGCGAAGGCGGCUUCCUGGACCGACACUGACGCUGAGGCGCGAAAGCUAGGGGAGCAAACGGGAUUAGAUACCCCGGUAGUCCUAGCUGUAAACGAUGAGUGCUGGGUGUAGGAGGUAUCAACCCCUCCUGUGCCGAAGCUAACGCAUUAAGCACUCCGCCUGGGGAGUACGGUCGCAAGGCUG
Molecule: ribosomal RNA, 502 nt
Filed under: uncultured bacterium
Lineage: Bacteria
Description: bacterial SSU rRNA
Rfam family: Bacterial small subunit ribosomal RNA
Source: RNAcentral